AGAGUUGUUAAUGAAACAAAAAUUUUAAUUUUUAUGAAGAGGUGGAAUUCGAACAUAAGAAGUUAUUUUAUUAUUUUUAGUAUAUUUGAUGCUUCGAAAGUUAUUAACGAGACCGGGAUUAGAUACCCCGUUAUUUUUUCUGUAAAUUUUGGUUACUUUGAUUAACUUACCUGAGUAUUACGGGUUAAUAAAAUGUAUGUAUAAUGAUAAUGCAUUGAUUUAUUUAGUAACUUAAAACUCAAAAAACUUGGCGGUGCUUUAUUUCCUCCCAGGGGAACCUGUCCUAUAAUCGAUAGUCCACGAUUUAUCUUACUUUUUUUUGAAAUGUUAUAAUAUAAACAUAUCAGUUUGUAUACCGUCGUCGUCAGAUUACCUUUAAAAGUUAAGAAGUUGUCGGGUAAAAUUGAUGAAACUUUUAUAUUUAUGUGAAAUAUAAAAAUUUGUUUUUUUAGAUGUCAGAUCAAGGUGCAGCUUAUGAAAAAGUAGAGAUGGGUUACAAUAUAUAUUUUGUAUUAUGGAUAUUAGUUUGCAACAAUUAAAUGAAAGUGGACUUGGAAGUAAUGUUUUGCAAGUGCAGAUUAGAAAGUGCAAAUGAAUUAUGGUACUAAAGCGCGC
RNAcentral lists this ribosomal RNA (615 nucleotides) under Oxystele sinensis (rosy-base top shell). Its description in RNAcentral is "partial 12S ribosomal RNA". Lineage: Eukaryota; Metazoa; Mollusca; Gastropoda; Trochida; Trochidae. The record is from RNAcentral.